This 900-nucleotide ribosomal RNA is filed under the name Pseudomonas putida. Its description in RNAcentral is "bacterial SSU rRNA". It matches the Rfam family "Bacterial small subunit ribosomal RNA", at positions 8 to 903 of the family's 1533-position model. The record is from RNAcentral. Lineage: Bacteria; Pseudomonadati; Pseudomonadota; Gammaproteobacteria; Pseudomonadales; Pseudomonadaceae.
AGAGUUUGAUCAUGGCUCAGAUUGAACGCUGGCGGCAGGCCUAACACAUGCAAGUCGAGCGGAUGACGGGAGCUUGCUCCUUGAUUCAGCGGCGGACGGGUGAGUAAUGCCUAGGAAUCUGCCUGGUAGUGGGGGACAACGUUUCGAAAGGAACGCUAAUACCGCAUACGUCCUACGGGAGAAAGCAGGGGACCUUCGGGCCUUGCGCUAUCAGAUGAGCCUAGGUCGGAUUAGCUAGUUGGUGAGGUAAUGGCUCACCAAGGCGACGAUCCGUAACUGGUCUGAGAGGAUGAUCAGUCACACUGGAACUGAGACACGGUCCAGACUCCUACGGGAGGCAGCAGUGGGGAAUAUUGGACAAUGGGCGAAAGCCUGAUCCAGCCAUGCCGCGUGUGUGAAGAAGGUCUUCGGAUUGUAAAGCACUUUAAGUUGGGAGGAAGGGCAUUAACCUAAUACGUUAGUGUUUUGACGUUACCGACAGAAUAAGCACCGGCUAACUCUGUGCCAGCAGCCGCGGUAAUACAGAGGGUGCAAGCGUUAAUCGGAAUUACUGGGCGUAAAGCGCGCGUAGGUGGUUUGUUAAGUUGGAUGUGAAAGCCCCGGGCUCAACCUGGGAACUGCAUCCAAAACUGGCAAGCUAGAGUACGGUAGAGGGUGGUGGAAUUUCCUGUGUAGCGGUGAAAUGCGUAGAUAUAGGAAGGAACACCAGUGGCGAAGGCGACCACCUGGACUGAUACUGACACUGAGGUGCGAAAGCGUGGGGAGCAAACAGGAUUAGAUACCCUGGUAGUCCACGCCGUAAACGAUGUCAACUAGCCGUUGGAAUCCUUGAGAUUUUAGUGGCGCAGCUAACGCAUUAAGUUGACCGCCUGGGGAGUACGGCCGCAAGGUUAAAACUCA